RNAcentral lists this ribosomal RNA (472 nucleotides) under uncultured bacterium. RNAcentral's name for it is "bacterial SSU rRNA". It matches the Rfam family "Bacterial small subunit ribosomal RNA", at positions 328 to 795 of the family's 1533-position model. The record is from RNAcentral.
UGGCCAGACUCCUACGGGAGGCAGCAGUGAGGAAUAUUGGUCAAUGGGCGAGAGCCUGAACCAGCCAAGUCGCGUGAGGGAUGACUGCCCUAUGGGUUGUAAACCUCUUUUGUAUGGGGGGAAUAAGCUUUACGAGUAGAGUGAUGACAGUACCAUACGAAUAAGCAUCGGCUAACUACGUGCCAGCAGCCGCGGUCAUACGUAGGAUCCGAGCAUUAUCCGGAGUGACUGGGUGUAAAGAGUUGCGUAGGUGGCAUAAUAAGUAGCUAGUGAAAUCUGGUGGCUCAACCAUUCAGACUAUUAGCUAAACUGUUAAGCUCGAGACCGUUAGGGGUAACUGGAAUUUCUAGUGUAGGAGUGAAAUCCGUAGAUAUUAGAAGGAACACCAAUAGCGUAGGCAGGUUACUGGGACGGUUCUGACACUAAGGCACGAAAGCGUAGGGAGCAAACGGGAUUAGAUACCCCCGUAGGA